Molecule: ribosomal RNA, 2902 nt
Filed under: Escherichia coli
Lineage: Bacteria; Pseudomonadati; Pseudomonadota; Gammaproteobacteria; Enterobacterales; Enterobacteriaceae
Description: bacterial LSU rRNA
Rfam family: Bacterial large subunit ribosomal RNA
Source: RNAcentral
UUAAGCGACUAAGCGUACACGGUGGAUGCCCUGGCAGUCAGAGGCGAUGAAGGACGUGCUAAUCUGCGAUAAGCGUCGGUGAGGUGAUAUGAACCGUUAUAACCGGCGAUUUCCGAAUGGGGAAACCCAGUGUGUUUCGACACACUAUCAUUAACUGAAUCCAUAGGUUAAUGAGGCGAACCGGGGGAACUGAAACAUCUAAGUACCCCGAGGAAAAGAAAUCAACCGAGAUUCCCCCAGUAGCGGCGAGCGAACGGGGAGGAGCCCAGAGCCUGAAUCAGUGUGUGUGUUAGUGGAAGCGUCUGGAAAGGCGCGCGAUACAGGGUGACAGCCCCGUACACAAAAAUGCACAUAUUGUGAGCUCGAUGAGUAGGGCGGGACACGUGGUAUCCUGUCUGAAUAUGGGGGGACCAUCCUCCAAGGCUAAAUACUCCUGACUGACCGAUAGUGAACCAGUACCGUGAGGGAAAGGCGAAAAGAACCCCGGCGAGGGGAGUGAAAAAGAACCUGAAACCGUGUACGUACAAGCAGUGGGAGCCUCUUAAUGGGGUGACUGCGUACCUUUUGUAUAAUGGGUCAGCGACUUAUAUUCUGUAGCAAGGUUAACCGAAUAGGGGAGCCGAAGGGAAACCGAGUCUUAACUGGGCGUUAAGUUGCAGGGUAUAGACCCGAAACCCGGUGAUCUAGCCAUGGGCAGGUUGAAGGUUGGGUAACACUAACUGGAGGACUGAACCGACUAAUGUUGAAAAAUUAGCGGAUGACUUGUGGCUGGGGGUGAAAGGCCAAUCAAACCGGGAGAUAGCUGGUUCUCCCCGAAAGCUAUUUAGGUAGCGCCUCGUGAAUUCAUCUCCGGGGGUAGAGCACUGUUUCGGCAAGGGGGUCAUCCCGACUUACCAACCCGAUGCAAACUGCGAAUACCGGAGAAUGUUAUCACGGGAGACACACGGCGGGUGCUAACGUCCGUCGUGAAGAGGGAAACAACCCAGACCGCCAGCUAAGGUCCCAAAGUCAUGGUUAAGUGGGAAACGAUGUGGGAAGGCCCAGACAGCCAGGAUGUUGGCUUAGAAGCAGCCAUCAUUUAAAGAAAGCGUAAUAGCUCACUGGUCGAGUCGGCCUGCGCGGAAGAUGUAACGGGGCUAAACCAUGCACCGAAGCUGCGGCAGCGACACUAUGUGUUGUUGGGUAGGGGAGCGUUCUGUAAGCCUGUGAAGGUGUACUGUGAGGUAUGCUGGAGGUAUCAGAAGUGCGAAUGCUGACAUAAGUAACGAUAAAGCGGGUGAAAAGCCCGCUCGCCGGAAGACCAAGGGUUCCUGUCCAACGUUAAUCGGGGCAGGGUGAGUCGACCCCUAAGGCGAGGCCGAAAGGCGUAGUCGAUGGGAAACAGGUUAAUAUUCCUGUACUUGGUGUUACUGCGAAGGGGGGACGGAGAAGGCUAUGUUGGCCGGGCGACGGUUGUCCCGGUUUAAGCGUGUAGGCUGGUUUUCCAGGCAAAUCCGGAAAAUCAAGGCUGAGGCGUGAUGACGAGGCACUACGGUGCUGAAGCGACAAAUGCCCUGCUUCCAGGAAAAGCCUCUAAGCAUCAGGUAACAUCAAAUCGUACCCCAAACCGACACAGGUGGUCAGGUAGAGAAUACCAAGGCGCUUGAGAGAACUCGGGUGAAGGAACUAGGCAAAAUGGUGCCGUAACUUCGGGAGAAGGCACGCUGAUAUGUAGGUGAAGCGACUUGCUCGUGGAGCUGAAAUCAGUCGAAGAUACCAGCUGGCUGCAACUGUUUAUUAAAAACACAGCACUGUGCAAACACGAAAGUGGACGUAUACGGUGUGACGCCUGCCCGGUGCCGGAAGGUUAAUUGAUGGGGUUAGCGGUAACGCGAAGCUCUUGAUCGAAGCCCCGGUAAACGGCGGCCGUAACUAUAACGGUCCUAAGGUAGCGAAAUUCCUUGUCGGGUAAGUUCCGACCUGCACGAAUGGCGUAAUGAUGGCCAGGCUGUCUCCACCCGAGACUCAGUGAAAUUGAACUCGCUGUGAAGAUGCAGUGUACCCGCGGCAAGACGGAAAGACCCCGUGAACCUUUACUAUAGCUUGACACUGAACAUUGAGCCUUGAUGUGUAGGAUAGGUGGGAGGCUUUGAAGUGUGGACGCCAGUCUGCAUGGAGCCGACCUUGAAAUACCACCCUUUAAUGUUUGAUGUUCUAACGUGGGCCCCUUACCGGGGUUGCGGACAGUGUCUGGUGGGUAGUUUGACUGGGGCGGUCUCCUCCUAAAGAGUAACGGAGGAGCACGAAGGUUGGCUAAUCCUGGUCGGACAUCAGGAGGUUAGUGCAAUGGCAUAAGCCAGCUUGACUGCGAGCGUGACGGCGCGAGCAGGUGCGAAAGCAGGUCAUAGUGAUCCGGUGGUUCUGAAUGGAAGGGCCAUCGCUCAACGGAUAAAAGGUACUCCGGGGAUAACAGGCUGAUACCGCCCAAGAGUUCAUAUCGACGGCGGUGUUUGGCACCUCGAUGUCGGCUCAUCACAUCCUGGGGCUGAAGUAGGUCCCAAGGGUAUGGCUGUUCGCCAUUUAAAGUGGUACGCGAGCUGGGUUUAGAACGUCGUGAGACAGUUCGGUCCCUAUCUGCCGUGGGCGCUGGAGAACUGAGGGGGGCUGCUCCUAGUACGAGAGGACCGGAGUGGACGCAUCACUGGUGUUCGGGUUGUCAUGCCAAUGGCACUGCCCGGUAGCUAAAUGCGGAAGAGAUAAGUGCUGAAAGCAUCUAAGCACGAAACUUGCCCCGAGAUGAGUUCUCCCUGACUCCUUGAGAGUCCUGAAGGAACGUUGAAGACGACGACGUUGAUAGGCCGGGUGUGUAAGCGCAGCGAUGCGUUGAGCUAACCGGUACUAAUGAACCGUGAGGCUUAACCUU